This 344-nucleotide unclassified non-coding RNA is filed under the name Hevea brasiliensis (rubber tree). The record is from RNAcentral. Lineage: Eukaryota; Viridiplantae; Streptophyta; Magnoliopsida; Malpighiales; Euphorbiaceae.
GAGGAAGAGGUCGAGGCGCUGCAGACCACCGCCAUGGUGGUUGCAGAAAUGAUCGCCUCGGGCGAGCUAUCGGCCAUUGCCAAGCCCGGCGCCGAGCCCGCCGCACGUCACUCGCUGCACAAGACCCGCGCGAUCCUGUNNNGCUCGGCCAUGUCGUGCUGCACGAGCCGCGCGUCGUCAUCACCAACUACAUCGCCGAGGAUCUGCCGAAGGAGCUCAAGCGGCUCGACACCGCGAUCCUGAAACUGCGCGCCGAUCUCGACCGCAUGCUGGAGCGCGGCGACGGUGCUGAAGGCGGCGAACACCGCGACGUGUUAGAGGCCUACCGCAUGUUCGCCAACGAC